Molecule: ribosomal RNA, 450 nt
Filed under: uncultured bacterium
Lineage: Bacteria
Description: partial 16S ribosomal RNA
Rfam family: Bacterial small subunit ribosomal RNA
Source: RNAcentral
GUGGGGAAUAUUGGACAAUGGGCGCAAGCCUGAUCCAGCAAUGCCGCGUGCAGGAAGAAGGCCUUCGGGUUGUAAACUGCUUUUGUACGGAACGAAACGGUCCGGGUUAAUACCCUGGGCUAAUGACGGUACCGUAAGAAUAAGCACCGGCUAACUACGUGCCAGCAGCCGCGGUAAUACGUAGGGUGCAAGCGUUAAUCGGAAUUACUGGGCGUAAAGCGUGCGCAGGCGGUUUUGUAAGACAGGCGUGAACUCCCCGGGCUCAACCUGGGAACUGCAUUUGUGACUGUAUAGCUAGAGUACGGUAGAGGGGGAUGGAAUUCCGCGUGUAGCAGUGAAAUGCGUAGAUAUGCGGAGGAACACCGAUGGCGAAGGCAAUCCCCUGGACCUGUACUGACGCUCAUGCACGAAAGCGUGGGGAGCAAACAGGAUUAGAAACCCCGGUAGUCC